AAUCAACGCUGGCGGCGCGCCUAACACAUGCAAGUCGCACGAGAAAAGGGCAACCUGAGUAAAGUGGCGCACGGGUGAGUAACACGUGGGUAAUCUACCUAAUGGUGGGGAAUAACCCUGGGAAACCGGGGCGUAAUACCGCAUAAGCCCGCAAGGGGAAAGGACGAGCAAUGCGCCGAUAGAGGAGCCCGCGGCCGAUUAGCUAGUUGGUGAGGUAAUGGCUCACCAAGGCUACGAUCGGUAGCCGGCCUGAGAGGGCAC
RNAcentral lists this ribosomal RNA (261 nucleotides) under uncultured bacterium. RNAcentral's name for it is "partial 16S ribosomal RNA". It matches the Rfam family "Bacterial small subunit ribosomal RNA", at positions 32 to 303 of the family's 1533-position model. The record is from RNAcentral.